UUUUAUNGNUUUCUGCUCAUGGUUAUAAAUAGCCGCAAUUAUAUUGUGCUAAGGUAGCAUAAUCAUUAGUCUUUUAAUUAAAGACCAGCACGAAAGAUCUAACAUUUUAAUUUCUAUUAUAUAUAAACUUAUUAAAAUUAUUUUAAAUGUAAAAAAACAUUUAUACAAAAAAAAGACAACAAGACCCUAUUGAACUUCACUUUAGUUUAACUGGGGCAGUUGAUUAAUUAAAAUUUUAAUUUACAUUAAAUUACCAAUUGACCCGAUUCAAUCGAUCAUUUAACCAAGUUACCAUAGGGAUAACAGCGUAAUAAUUUUUCAAAGACCUUAUUUAAAAAAUUGAUUGCGACCUCGAUGUUGAAUUAAUUAUCUAUUUAAUGCAAUAAUUAAAAAAGAAAGUCUGUUCGACUUUUAAAUAAUUACAUGAUCUGAGUCAAAANCCGGAGA
This 447-nucleotide ribosomal RNA is filed under the name Argyroneta aquatica (water spider). RNAcentral's name for it is "partial 16S ribosomal RNA". It matches the Rfam family "Bacterial large subunit ribosomal RNA", at positions 1897 to 2624 of the family's 2925-position model. Lineage: Eukaryota; Metazoa; Arthropoda; Arachnida; Araneae; Dictynidae. The record is from RNAcentral.